RNAcentral lists this ribosomal RNA (549 nucleotides) under uncultured Glomeromycotina. Its description in RNAcentral is "SSU rRNA". It matches the Rfam family "Eukaryotic small subunit ribosomal RNA", at positions 548 to 1098 of the family's 1831-position model. Lineage: Eukaryota; Fungi; Glomeromycota. The record is from RNAcentral.
UUGGAGGGCAAGUCUGGUGCCAGCAGCCGCGGUAAUUCCAGCUCCAAUAGCGUAUAUUAAAGUUGUUGCAGUUAAAAAGCUCGUUGUUGAAUUUCGGGGUCAGUAGGUUGGUCAUGCCACUGGUAUGUACUGGUCUCACUGAUUCCUCCUUCCUGAUGAGCCGUAAUGCCAUUAAUUUGGUGUUGCGAGGAAUCUGGACUGUUACUUUGAAAAAAUUAGAGUGUUUAAAGCAAGCUAACGCUUGAAUACAUAAGCAUGGAAUAAUGAAAUAGGACGUUCGAUCCUAUUUUGUUGGUUUCUAGGAUUGACGUAAUGAUUAAUAGGGAUAGUUGGGGGCAUCAGUAUUCAAUUGUCAGAGGUGAAAUUCUUGGAUUUACUGAAGACUAACUACUGCGAAAGCAUUUGCCAAGGAUGUUUUCAUUAAUCAAGAACGAAAGUUAGGGGAUCGAAGACGAUCAGAUACCGUCGUAGUCUUAACCAUAAACUAUGCCGACUAGGGAUCGGAUGAUGUUAAUUUUUUAAUGACUCAUUCGGCGCCUUACGGGAAAC